Molecule: ribosomal RNA, 583 nt
Filed under: uncultured bacterium
Lineage: Bacteria
Description: bacterial SSU rRNA
Rfam family: Bacterial small subunit ribosomal RNA
Source: RNAcentral
AAGAACGCUGGCAGCGUGCAUAACACAUGCAAGUCGAACGAUGAAGCAUUCUUCGGAAUGUGGAAGAGUGGCGAACGGGUGAGGAACACGUAAGAAUCUGCCCCUCAGUCGGGGACAACCCUUGGAAACGAGGGCUAAUACCCGAUACGCUGUGGAGUGAAAGAAUUUCGCUGAGGGAUGAUCUUGCGUCUGAUUAGCUAGUUGGUGUGGUAAUGGCACACCAAGGCGACGAUCAGUAGCUGGUCUGAGAGGAUGAACAGCCACAUUGGAACUGAGACACGGUCCAAACUCCUACGGGAGGCAGCAGUGGGGAAUUUUCCGCAAUGGACGAAAGUCUGACGGAGCGACGCUGCGUGAAGGAUGACGGCCUGCGGGUUGUAAACUUCUUUUCUCGAAGAAGAAGCUCUGACGGUAUUCGAGGAAUAAGCAUCGGCUAACUCCGUGCCAGCAGCCGCGGUAAGACGGAGGAUGCAAGUGUUAUUCGGAAUGAUUGGGCGUAAAGAGUCUGUAGGCUGUAUGGAAAGUCUUUUGUUAAAUGCCUCGGCUCAACCGAGAUCCAGCAAAGGAAACUUCUAUACUUGAG